RNAcentral lists this ribosomal RNA (464 nucleotides) under Vreelandella stevensii. Its description in RNAcentral is "partial 16S ribosomal RNA". It matches the Rfam family "Bacterial small subunit ribosomal RNA", at positions 338 to 795 of the family's 1533-position model. Lineage: Bacteria; Pseudomonadati; Pseudomonadota; Gammaproteobacteria; Oceanospirillales; Halomonadaceae. The record is from RNAcentral.
CCUACGGGGCGCUGCAGUGGGGAAUAUUGGACAAUGGGCGAAAGCCUGAUCCAGCCAUGCCGCGUGUGUGAAGAAGGCCUUCGGGUUGUAAAGCACUUUCAGUGGGGAAGAAAGCCUUGGGGCUAAUACCCUCGAGGAAGGACAUCACCCACAGAAGAAGCACCGGCUAACUCCGUGCCAGCAGCCGCGGUAAUACGGAGGGUGCGAGCGUUAAUCGGAAUUACUGGGCGUAAAGCGCGCGUAGGCGGUCUGAUAAGCCGGUUGUGAAAGCCCCGGGCUCAACCUGGGAACGGCAUCCGGAACUGUCAGGCUAGAGUGCAGGAGAGGAAGGUAGAAUUCCCGGUGUAGCGGUGAAAUGCGUAGAGAUCGGGAGGAAUACCAGUGGCGAAGGCGGCCUUCUGGACUGACACUGACGCUGAGGUGCGAAAGCGUGGGUAGCAAACAGGAUUAAUACCCGUGUAGUC